CUGAAAGCAGGGGCCGGGGUGAAGAGGGAGACCCAGGCUUCUCAGAUCCACUUCCCCUUUGACUAUCAUGCUGCAUUUCGAUAGAAGAAAAGGGUGACCGACUGGCGCCUCCAGUUUCACCUUCCUAUAGGUGACAGGCUAGGCUUUGGGGAAACUCUCCAGAAGGCACUAUUUUUACUUAAAACA
This is a long non-coding RNA of Sapajus apella (tufted capuchin), 186 nucleotides long. RefSeq lists it as uncharacterized. NCBI's taxonomy places the organism in Eukaryota, Metazoa, Chordata, Mammalia, Primates, Cebidae. The record is from RefSeq and is a predicted model, not a curated record. The transcript has 3 exons.